This 239-nucleotide ribosomal RNA is filed under the name uncultured bacterium. Its description in RNAcentral is "partial 16S ribosomal RNA". It matches the Rfam family "Bacterial small subunit ribosomal RNA", at positions 118 to 351 of the family's 1533-position model. The record is from RNAcentral.
UGGGUAAUCUGCCCUCGAUUCUGGGAUAGCCCGGGGAAACCCGGAUUAAUACCGGAUGGCCUCUCGAGCUUACGAGCUCGAAAGAAAAGGUAGCUUCGGCCUCCGAUCGAGGAUGAGCCCGCGGCGGAGUAGCUUGUUGGUGGGGUAAUGGCCUACCAAGGCGACGAUCCGUAGCUGGUCUGAGAGGACGAUCAGCCACACUGGGACUGAGACACGGCCCAGACUCCUACGGGAGGNAG